AGUUUUAAUUUAGUUUCAAACCUUUAAUUCCGCCAUUUUGAUACCCCCAAUUUUUCAUUCUCCCUUUUAUUACCGCCCCCAAAUCCCUAUUCUUUAUUCUUUAUCAUCUUCCCUCUUUAGCCUGGUGCCAGUUGCCAGAACCGUCAAGAGAACAAGACGGGAAGGAGACUCCCUAUGGAGGUAGCCGCUUGGGAGUUUCCGGUUACCCAUAAAAAUUUGAAAGCAAUUUUAGGCACUAGUGGGUUUCAAGUUUAAUCAAAUCGGAGGUAAACUAUUUCUUUGUUUGAAAUCAAUUAUGAAGGUACGAGAGGUUGUUUCUGUGUGUUUUUAGUUUUUUCAUUUUGUAUUAAACGCCAUAUGUGCGUGUUAAUGUGUAUACUUCUUACACUCGGUUUGGGCGUAAAUUGUAAGUUUGGUAUGUUCAUAAUCAGACCAAUCGUGAUGAGAAGCGGUUGACGAAGAAGCAAAACUUACUACAAUGCAGCUUGUUUGGGGAUUUUAAAGUGCCUAAGCUUUCCGCUCCUUGUAUUAUUCACAGUUGUCUUCUCAUGUAUGCAGAUCAUCAUUAAUAUAACUUGGUUGCAGUCGCUAGAUACCUCAUUGUCACACAAAAUUGGAUAGAUCAUCAUUAUGGAGUUUUGAUUCUUUCAAACAAAUGAGAUGUUGUGGAGCCUGGGUUCUUUUAAAACCAUUCAUCCUUAGUAUUAAUGUUUUAUUAAGAGUGAUGUGCUAAUUUAUUAGUACCGGUGCAACGGGUCGAAGGAAUGAAUAACAAAGUUGGGUAGAAUGAAACAAGAGAGAAGUAUGCUAUGAUGGAGAAAAUUGAAGAAAAGUGAAGUUGCAUGCUUAAGUGAAUGAGAGAUUGUGAUUGUUGUUAAAUAGCAUUUGCCAUAAAAGUUUAUAGCAAGUUAAAAUAUGGUUUUAUGUUAGUAAACAAAUUAUUACGAAUAUUAAUUGUAUUGCUUUUAGAUAAUUUAUAUCUUUACUUUGUUACUGUU
Helianthus annuus (common sunflower) is the source of this 998-nucleotide long non-coding RNA. RefSeq lists it as uncharacterized. The transcript is spliced from 3 exons. Lineage: Eukaryota; Viridiplantae; Streptophyta; Magnoliopsida; Asterales; Asteraceae. The record is from RefSeq and is a predicted model, not a curated record.